GGAUAGCUCAGUUGGUUAGAGUGUGGUGCAGGUAACGCCAAGGUUGCAGGUUCGAUUCCUGUUGGGAACA
This is a non-coding RNA of Podarcis lilfordi (Lilford's wall lizard), 70 nucleotides long. The record is from the annotation of a GenBank genome assembly. NCBI's taxonomy places the organism in Eukaryota, Metazoa, Chordata, Lepidosauria, Squamata, Lacertidae.